This 658-nucleotide long non-coding RNA is filed under the name Homo sapiens (human). RNAcentral describes it as "HSALNT0223373". The record is from RNAcentral. Lineage: Eukaryota; Metazoa; Chordata; Mammalia; Primates; Hominidae.
CUCAUGGGCUGGCUAGUAAUUUCAAAGUGUCCCUCUGGCAGCAGUAAAGGGAUUAAGGGUGGGCGCAGGGAGAGUGGAAAUGUCCAGUGCACAAUCCAGGUGACCGGCUACUGGCUUGGACUAGGGUUGUGAUAGGAGAGGCGAGAAGAGGUCCAGUCUCCUGUGGGAUUGGAUGUGGGGUGUGAGCAAAAGAGAGGAGGCAAAGGUUUUGGCCAGAGUAGCUGGGUGAACAACAGUGCCACUAACCAGUAAGAGGAACCAUCAGGGAAGAGCAGGUUUGGGAAGUGGAGAAUCAAGGUUUCCAUACUGCCACAAUAAACUUAAGAUUCUGUUAGACAUAAAGAUGUUGUGUAGGUGGUUGGAGAUAUGAAAUGAGUUCAGUUAAUAUGUGGUCACAUAUAAACUACUUAGUCCUCUUAAACUAAGGUACGUACUCCUAUUAUGCUCAUUUUAUAGAUGAGGAAACUGAGGCACAGCUUAAGAAAAUUGAAACCCUUUGGUCCUUUCAGGACAAGGAGACAUGGUUCAUGAAUGGAGCAGGUGGAAGAAGAUGAAGGUUGUCCCCAUCAAGUUACUGGAGACACCAGUUGGAGCAAAGCAGUGACUAUUUUAGAUGCUGACUCCAAAAAACGUUUUUCAGGACUUAACAUUGCCACCU